Molecule: ribosomal RNA, 497 nt
Filed under: uncultured bacterium
Lineage: Bacteria
Description: partial 16S ribosomal RNA
Rfam family: Bacterial small subunit ribosomal RNA
Source: RNAcentral
GAUGAACGCUGGCGGCGUGCCUAAUACAUGCAAGUCGAGCGAACGGACGAGAAGCUUGCUUCUCUGAUGUUAGCGGCGGACGGGUGAGUAACACGUGGAUAACCUACCUAUAAGACUGGGAUAACUUCGGGAAACCGUAGCUAAUACCGGAUAAUAUUUUGAACCGCAUGGUUCAAAAGUGAAAGACGGUCUUGCUGUCACUUAUAGAUGGAUCCGCGCUGCAUUAGCUAGUUGGUAAGGUAACGGCUUACCAAGGCAACGAUGCAUAGCCGACCUGAGAGGGUGAACGGCCACACUGAGACUGAGACACGGUCCAGACACCUAGGGGAGGCAGAAGUAGGGAAUCUUCCGAAAUGGGCGGAAGCCUGACGGAGCAACGCCGCGUGAGUGAUGAAGGUCUUCGGAUCGUAAAACUCUGUUAUUAGGGAAGACCAUAUGUGUAAGUAACUGUGCACAUCUUGACGGUACCUAAUCAGAAAGCAACGGCUAACUACGUG